Molecule: ribosomal RNA, 412 nt
Filed under: uncultured bacterium
Lineage: Bacteria
Description: bacterial SSU rRNA
Rfam family: Bacterial small subunit ribosomal RNA
Source: RNAcentral
GACGAACGCUGGCGGCGUGCCUAACACAUGCAAGUCGAACGGAGUGUUACGCUGAAUUGAAGGUAGCUUGCUACCGGAUUUUCUUGUGACACUUAGUGGCGGACGGGUGAGUAACGCGUGAGCAACCUGCCUUUCAGUGGGGGACAACAGUUGGAAACGACUGCUAAUACCGCAUAAUGUUAUUUGAGGGCAUCCUCGAAUAACCAAAGCUUUAUGUGCUGAAAGAUGGUCUCGCGUCUGAUUAGCUAGUUGGCGGGGUAACGGCCCACCAAGGCGACGAUCAGUAGCCGGUCUGAGAGGAUGAACGGCCACAUUGGGACUGAGAUACGGCCCAGACUCCUACGGGAGGCAGCAGUUGGGGAAUAUUGGGCAAUGGGGGAAACCCUGACCCAGCAACGCCGCGUGAAGGAAG